CAAUAGCGUAUAUUUUUUCUGUUGCAGUUAAAAAGCUCGUAGUUGGAUCUCGGGGCUCGGGCGUUUGGUCCGCCGGAACGGUGUGUACUGAGCGGCCGGUCUCAUACCUACUGGGUAUCCGCUUCUGCUCUUAAUUGAGUGGGGGUUCAUGGCUUCGGUUGUGGCGGCUGGCGUUUGGUUUCGGCCGGGCGUCAGUUGGGGUUCCAGUUCGUUUACUGUGAGUAAAUUAGAGUGUUUCAAGCAGCUCCUUGGAGCGUUGUAUACAAUUAGCAUGGGAUAAUAGAAUAGGACUUUGGUUCUAUUUUGUUGGUUUCUAGGACCAGAGUAAUGAUUAACAGGGAUAGUUGGGGGCAUUUGUAUUUUGUUGUCAGAGGUGAAAUUCUUGGAUUUACAAAAGACAAACUUCUGCGAAAGCAUUUGCCAAGGAUGUUUUCAUUAA
This 439-nucleotide ribosomal RNA is filed under the name uncultured eukaryote. RNAcentral describes it as "partial 18S ribosomal RNA". It matches the Rfam family "Eukaryotic small subunit ribosomal RNA", at positions 592 to 976 of the family's 1831-position model. The record is from RNAcentral.